UGCACUCACUACUGUAAGUCGCUCUGAAUAAGAGUGUCUGCUGAAUGACUAAAA
Salmo salar (Atlantic salmon) is the source of this 54-nucleotide non-coding RNA. The record is from Rfam. Lineage: Eukaryota; Metazoa; Chordata; Actinopteri; Salmoniformes; Salmonidae.